GGGUGUGUAGCUCAAAUGGUAGAGUGAUCCCUUCGCAAGGGAUAGGUAACGGGAUCGAUGCCCGUCUCAUCCA
Transfer RNA from Blastocystis sp., 73 nucleotides. It matches the Rfam family "tRNA". Rfam says of the family: Transfer RNA (tRNA) molecules are approximately 80 nucleotides in length. Their secondary structure includes four short double-helical elements and three loops (D, anti-codon, and T loops). NCBI's taxonomy places the organism in Eukaryota, Bigyra, Opalinata, Blastocystidae. The record is from Rfam.